UAGCUAGUUGGUGAGGUAAAGGCUUACCAAGGCGACGAUCUGUAGCGGGUCUGAGAGGAUGAUCCGCCACACUGGAACUGAGACACGGUCCAGACUCCUACGGGAGGCAGCAGUGGGGAAUUUUGGACAAUGGGGGCAACCCUGAUCCAGCCAUGCCGCGUGAGUGAAGAAGGCCUUCGGGUUGUAAAGCUCUUUCGGCCGGGAAGAAAUCGCAUGGGCCAAUACCCUGUGUGGAUGACGGUACCGGAAUAAGAAGCACCGGCUAACUACGUGCCAGCAGCCGCGGUAAUACGUAGGGUGCGAGCGUUAAUCGGAAUUACUGGGCGUAAAGCGUGCGCAGGCGGUUUUGUAAGACAGGCGUGAAAUCCCCGGGCUUAACCUGGGAACUGCGUUUGUGACUGCAAGGCUAGAGUACGGCAGAGGGGGGUGGAAUUCCACGUGUAGCAGUGAAAUGCGUAGAGAUGUGGAGGAACACCAAUGGCGAAGGCAGCCCCCUGGGUCGAUACUGACGCUCAUGCACGAAAGCGUGGGUAGCAAACAGGAUUAGAUACCCUGGUAGUCCACGCCCUAAACUAUGUCAACUAGGUGUUGGGUGGGUAAAACCAUUUAGUACCGUAGCUAACGCGUGAAGUUGACCGCCUGGGGAGUACGGCCGCAAGGUUAAAACUCAAAGGAAUUGACGGGGACCCGCACAAGCGGUGGAUGAUGUGGAUUAAUUCGAUGCAACGCGAAAAACCUUACCUACCCUUGACAUGCCAGGAACUUGCCAGGGAUGGCUUGGUGCCCGAAAGGGAGCCUGAACACAGGUGCUGCAUGGCUGUCGUCAGCUCGUGUCGUGAGAUGUUGGGUUAAGUCCCGCAACGAGCGCAACCCUUGUCGUUAAUUGCCAUCAUUUAGUUGGGCACUUUAACGAGACUGCCGGUGACAAACCGGAGGAAGGUGGGGAUGACGUCAAGUCCUCAUGGCCCUUAUGGGUAGGGCUUCACACGUCAUACAAUGGUCGGUACAAAGGGUUGCCAAGCCGCGAGGCGGAGCCAAUCCCAGAAAGCCGAUCGUAGUCCGGAUUGCAGGCUGCAACUCGCCUGCAUGAAGUCGGAAUCGCUAGUAAUCGUGGAUCAGCAUGUCACGGUGAAUACGUUCCCGGGUCUUGUACACACCGCCCGUCACACCAUGGGAGCGGGUUCCGCCAGAAGUAGGUAGCCUAACCGCAAGGGGGGCGCUUACCACGGCGGGGUUCGUGACUGGGGUGAAGUCGUAACAAGGUAGCCGUAGGGGAACCUGCGGCUG
Molecule: ribosomal RNA, 1287 nt
Filed under: metagenome
Description: bacterial SSU rRNA
Rfam family: Bacterial small subunit ribosomal RNA
Source: RNAcentral